RNAcentral lists this ribosomal RNA (439 nucleotides) under uncultured bacterium. Its description in RNAcentral is "partial 16S ribosomal RNA". It matches the Rfam family "Bacterial small subunit ribosomal RNA", at positions 339 to 795 of the family's 1533-position model. The record is from RNAcentral.
CUACGGGUGGCUCCAGUGAGGAAUAUUGCACAAUGGGGGGAACCCUGAUGCAGCAACGCCGCGUGGAGGAUGACGCAUUUCGGUGUGUAAACUCCUUUUAUAUGUCAAGAAAAUGACGGUAGCAUAUGAAUAAGCACCGGCUAACUCCGUGCCAGCAGCCGCGAUAAUACGGAGGGUGCAAGCGUUACUCGGAAUCACUGGGCGUAAGGGACGCGUAGGCGGGUUGGAAAGUCAGGUGUGAAAUCCUACAGCUUAACUGUAGAACUGCACUUGAAACUUCUAAUCUAGAGUAUGGGAGGGGGAGAUGGAAUUAGUGGUGUAGGGGUAAAAUCCGUAGAUAUCACUAGGAAUACCUAAAGCGAAGGCGAUCUCCUGGAACAUUACUGACGCUAAGGCGUGAAAGCGUGGGGAGCAAACAGGAUUAGAUACCCUAGUAGUC